AGAAUACAUAGAAUUAAGAAUGAAAGC
RNAcentral lists this small RNA (27 nucleotides) under Bombyx mori (domestic silkworm). Its description in RNAcentral is "ovarian small RNA-11791". The record is from RNAcentral. Lineage: Eukaryota; Metazoa; Arthropoda; Insecta; Lepidoptera; Bombycidae.